AAAGCCUGCCGGGCCGUCGCCGGUGCAAGUCCCGAAAGGGCGCACUGGAGGAACGUCCGGACUGCACAGGGCAGCGCAGGAGGUAACACCUCUCCACCGCGAGGUGAGGAUCAGAGCAACAGAGACGAGCUUGGAAAGCAAGUUCAGGGUGUUCUAUGACAAGGCGGCGAAAGCCGCCCGUCGCAACGGUUUGCGUUGCGACUCUGCCGCAAGGCAGGAGCGACAUAGCCACCUUGGGCAGCAGAGCUGACCAAGGUGAAACGGGCAAUCUCUGCGCGCAGCAAUGCCAAAUAGGCCAGCGAUGAAACGGCACCGUUGAGUUGGCGGGUAGGCAGCACCGAGCCGCGGGGGCGACCCCCGGCCCAGAGGAAUGGCGGCCCACGGCGUUUCCCGCCGUGCACAGAAUCCGGCGUACAGGCAGGCUUUACUU
Molecule: RNase P RNA, 430 nt
Filed under: Allobrachymonas sp.
Lineage: Bacteria; Pseudomonadati; Pseudomonadota; Betaproteobacteria; Burkholderiales; Comamonadaceae
Description: RNase P RNA component class A
Rfam family: Bacterial RNase P class A
About the family: Ribonuclease P (RNase P) is a ubiquitous endoribonuclease, found in archaea, bacteria and eukarya as well as chloroplasts and mitochondria. Its best characterised activity is the generation of mature 5'-ends of tRNAs by cleaving the 5'-leader elements of precursor-tRNAs.
Source: RNAcentral